RNAcentral lists this ribosomal RNA (478 nucleotides) under uncultured bacterium. RNAcentral's name for it is "bacterial SSU rRNA". It matches the Rfam family "Bacterial small subunit ribosomal RNA", at positions 29 to 521 of the family's 1533-position model. The record is from RNAcentral.
AUUGAACGCUGGCGGCAUGCUUUACACAUGCAAGUCGAACGGCAGCACAGGGAGCUUGCUCCCGGGUGGCGAGUGGCGCACGGGUGAGUAAUACAUCGGAACGUGUCCUGUUGUGGGGGAUAACUGCUCGAAAGGGUGGCUAAUACCGCAUGAGACCUGAGGGUGAAAGCGGGGGAUCGCAAGACCUCGCGCAAUUGGAGCGGCCGAUGCCCGAUUAGCUAGUUGGUGGGGUAAAGGCUCACCAAGGCGACGAUCGGUAGCUGGUCUGAGAGGACGACCAGCCACACUGGGACUGAGACACGGCCCAGACUCCUACGGGAGGCAGCAGUGGGGAAUUUUGCACAAUGGGGGGAAACCCUGAUGCAGCGACGCCGCGUGAGUGAUGAAGUAUUUCGGUAUGUAAAACUCUAUCAGCAGGGAAGAUAAUGACGGUACCUGACUAAGAAGCACCGGCUAAAUACGUGCCAGCAGCCGCGGU